Molecule: RNA transcript, 1114 nt
Organism: Egretta garzetta (little egret)
Lineage: Eukaryota; Metazoa; Chordata; Aves; Pelecaniformes; Ardeidae
Gene: SRSF7
Gene name: serine and arginine rich splicing factor 7
Exons: 8
Source: RefSeq, a predicted model, not a curated record
CCGGCCCUGACAUGGCGUCCUUCCCGCCAGAGACCAAGGUGUACGUGGGGAACCUGGGCACAGGCGCGGGCAAAGGCGAGCUGGAGAGAGCCUUCAGCUACUACGGGCCCCUGAGAACCGUGUGGAUCGCGAGGAACCCGCCGGGGUUUGCCUUCGUGGAGUUUGAAGACCCGAGGGACGCUGAAGAUGCUGUCCGUGGACUUGAUGGGAAGGUGAUAUGUGGCUCCAGGGUUAGAGUGGAAGUGUCAACAGGGAUGCCUCGUCGCUCCCGUUACGACAGGCCUCCUGCACGGCGCCCCUUUGACCCUAAUGACAGAUGCUAUGAGUGUGGUGAGAAAGGCCACUAUGCUUAUGAUUGUCACCGCUAUAGUCGCCGAAGGAGGAGCAGGUCCCGGUCUAGAUCCCGUUCAAGGUCCCGAGGAAGAAGGUAUUCUCGGUCACGCAGUCGGAGUCGUGGUAGGAGGUCCAGGUCAGCUUCUUAUCGUAGGUCCCGGUCCGUUUCUCCUCGUAGAUCGAGGUCUGUGUCUCCCCGCCGGUCCCGAUCGGGUUCCUUGAAGAGAUCAAGGUCUAGAUCAAGAUCCAGAUCUAGAUCCAGAUCUGUUACAUGGCCCCGAAGCAGGUCUAGGUCUCAUGGCAGAUCAAAAUCUGGCUCGCCGGCUAAGAGUCGGUCAAAGUCCCGAUCACCAUCUCCAAAGAGAAGGUAUGUUGAUCUCCCUACUAAUAACGUAGACUCCGUAGAGCUGGCAUUUUAGUAUCUGCAGUGAUCUCUGCUGAGGAGUUUGACUGCUGCUUGUAGGAAAUUACUGGAAAGUCGUUCACCGUCAGGAAGCCCUCAAAGAAGUGCAAGUCCUGAAAGAAUGGAUUAAAGUUAUGAAGUUAAUCUUUUAGGAAGAAAGUUAUUUUGCUUACAUUAUUAUAAGGGAUUUUGUGGUGUCUUUGUAAAUGUAAGAAUGUAGAUAGAAGAGUAUAUCAACUAAAAUUUGGCAUGAUCUGGGUCUUCUGAGUUAGUCACACCAAUAGACUAGCACAGGUCUCUUUUUAUUGUAUGAAUUAACUUCCUGUGAUACGAAAACGUGGGACUUUUUUAUUGGCACAUUGAAAUAAAAUGUGUAUU